This 301-nucleotide ribosomal RNA is filed under the name uncultured bacterium. RNAcentral's name for it is "partial 16S ribosomal RNA". It matches the Rfam family "Bacterial small subunit ribosomal RNA", at positions 509 to 808 of the family's 1533-position model. The record is from RNAcentral.
CAGCCGCCGCGGGAAUACAGAGGGUGCGAGCGUUAAUCGGAUUUACUGGGCGUAAAGCGUGCGUAGGCGGCUUUUUAAGUCGGAUGUGAAAUCCCUGAGCUUAACUUAGGAAUUGCAUUCGAUACUGGGAAGCUAGAGUAUGGGAGAGGAUGGUAGAAUUCCAGGUGUAGCGGUGAAAUGCGUAGAGAUCUGGAGGAAUACCGAUGGCGAAGGCAGCCAUCUGGUCUAAUACUGACGCUGAGGUACGAAAGCAUGGGGAGCAAACAGGAUUAGAUACCCCCGUAGUCCCUGUCUCUACACU